RNAcentral lists this ribosomal RNA (810 nucleotides) under Triticum aestivum (bread wheat). RNAcentral's name for it is "partial small subunit ribosomal RNA". The record is from RNAcentral. Lineage: Eukaryota; Viridiplantae; Streptophyta; Magnoliopsida; Poales; Poaceae.
AUGCAUUGGAUGUCCUAGUGGAAAUUGUGUGUUCCUAAAAAUCAAGGAGGAAUGGGAUUUCGUGAUAUCCACUGUUUUAACUUGGCUUUGCUCGCCAAACAGGCAUGACGUUUGUUGGAUAAUCCAGAUUCCUUGUGUGCUUCUAUCCUACGGGCUAAAUAUUACCCUGAUGGUGAUCUGUUAAAUGUGAAGUUAAAGAAAGGCUCUUCCUUUACAUGGCAAAGUAUUAUGGCAGGCACAAAUACACUGAAACAUGGCUAUAUUUGGAGAGUGGGAAAUAGAUACAAUAUCAAUAUUUGGGAAGAUGCCUGGAUUCCAAGCUAUGCAACUAGAAAAAUUGUAAUGCCUAAGAGCAACUCUAGCAGACCCCGAAAAGGCCCCGAUCCGCAAAACAACCGCCAAAAUGCGGGUCGGCACGGAAAAUCCCGCUCGAACAAACCCCGCAAAUGCGGCCGGCGACAAAUUAUUUUGAGAGGCGCAGCAAAAACUCGGCCCCAACCCGCGUAUCGCGGGUUUCUGCCUCGCCCCUACGGUGCCCCGUAUCAUAGUGAAGCAGUUGGCGGGAGGGACAUUACAUCCCGCGCCCCUUUCCCCACCUCCUUCCGCCGCUGCCCGCCACAGGUUCCGCCCGUCUGCCGCCGCCGAUUCCAGCCAAAUCUACGGGCGAAAUCGCGCCACCGGGGCAUCGUUCACCCUUCACCACCGCUAGGCUGGACCGCCCCCGCGGAUCCGGCGAGAAGAACCACCCCUUGUCGUUGUUGCCGCCGGGGGCCGACCACCCUCGAGACGCCCCUCAUCGUCGCCGAUUAG